AGAUUGAACGCUGGCGGCAUGCCUAACACAUGCAAGUCGAACGCGAAAGUGGGGCAACCUGCGAGUAGAGUGGCGGACGGGUGAGUAACGCAUCGGAAUUUACCCUGUCGUGGGGGAUAACCAAGGGAAACUUUGGCUAAUACCGCAUGAUCUGGUGACAGCAAAGCGGGGGACCUGCAAGGGCCUCGCGCGAUGGGAUGAGCCGAUGUCUGAUUAGCUAGUUGGUAGGGUAAAGGCCUACCAAGGCGACGAUCAGUAGCUGGUCUGAGAGGAUGAUCAGCCACACUGGGACUGAGACACGGCCCAGACUCCUACGGGAGCAGCAGUGGGAAUAUUGGACAAGUGGGGGC
This 350-nucleotide ribosomal RNA is filed under the name uncultured soil bacterium. RNAcentral's name for it is "bacterial SSU rRNA". It matches the Rfam family "Bacterial small subunit ribosomal RNA", at positions 26 to 379 of the family's 1533-position model. The record is from RNAcentral.